CCUACGGGUGGCAGCAGUGAGGAAUAUUGGUCAAUGGACGAGAGUCUGAACCAGCCAAGUAGCGUGAAGGAUGACUGCCCUAUGGGUUGUAAACUUCUUUUAUAAAGGAAUAAAACGAGGCACGUGUGCCUUUUUGCAUGUACUUUAUGAAUAAGGAUCGGCUAACUCCGUGCCAGCAGCCGCGGUAAUACGGAGGAUCCGAGCGUUAUCCGGAUUUAUUGGGUUUAAAGGGCGCGUAGAUGGGUUGUUAAGUCAGUUGUGAAAGUUUGCGGCUCAACCGUAAAAUUGCAAUUGAUACUGGCAGUCUAGAGUACAGUUGAGGUAGGCGGAAUUCGUGGUGUAGCGGUGAAAUGCUUAGAUAUCACGAAGAACCCCGAUUGCGAAGGCAGCUUACUAAACUGUGACUGACAUUGAUGCUCGAAAGUGUGGGUAUCAAACAGGAUUAGAUACCCGAGUAGUC
RNAcentral lists this ribosomal RNA (460 nucleotides) under uncultured bacterium. Its description in RNAcentral is "partial 16S ribosomal RNA". It matches the Rfam family "Bacterial small subunit ribosomal RNA", at positions 338 to 795 of the family's 1533-position model. The record is from RNAcentral.